RNAcentral lists this ribosomal RNA (372 nucleotides) under uncultured organism. RNAcentral's name for it is "bacterial SSU rRNA". It matches the Rfam family "Bacterial small subunit ribosomal RNA", at positions 526 to 896 of the family's 1533-position model. The record is from RNAcentral.
CGAACCGUCCAAACGUUACUCGGAAUCACUGGGCUUAAAGGGCGCGUAGGCGGCCGAGCGGGUCGCGGGUGAAAUCCUCCAGCUUGACUGGAGAACUGCCCUCGAUACCACUGCGGCUCGAGGAAGGAAGGGGCAAUCGGAACUGUCGGUGGAGCGGUGAAAUGCGUUGAUAUCGACAGGAACGCCGGUGGCGAAAGCGGAUUGCUGGUCCUUUUCUGACGCUGAGGCGCGAAAGCCAGGGGAGCAAACGGGAUUAGAUACCCCGGUAGUCCUGGCCUUAAACGAUGAGAACUAGGUAGUGGGUCCGACCUGGGCACACUGCCGAAGCGAAAGUCUUAAGUUCUCCGCCUGGGGAGUAUGGUCGCAAGGCUG